This 497-nucleotide ribosomal RNA is filed under the name uncultured bacterium. Its description in RNAcentral is "partial 16S ribosomal RNA". It matches the Rfam family "Bacterial small subunit ribosomal RNA", at positions 28 to 507 of the family's 1533-position model. The record is from RNAcentral.
GAUGAACGCUGGCGGCGUGCCUAAUACAUGCAAGUCGAGCGAACAGACGAGGAGCUUGCUCCUCUGACGUUAGCGGCGGACGGGUGAGUAACACGUGGAUAACCUACCUAUAAGACUGGGAUAACUUCGGGAAACCUGAGCUAAUACCGGAUAAUAUAUUGAACCGCAUGGUUCAAUAGUGAAAGACGGUUUUGCUGUCACUUAUAGAUGUAUCCGCGCCGCAUUAGCUAGUUGGUAAGGUAACGGCUUACCAAGGCGACGAUGCGUAGCCGACCUGAGAGGGUGAUCGGCCACACUGGAACUGAGACACGGUCCAGACUCCUACGGGAGGCAGCAGUAGGGAAUAUUCCGCAAUGGGCGAAAGCCUGACGGAGCAACGCCGCGUGAGUGAUGAAGGUCUUCGGAUCGUAAAACUCUGUUAUUAGGGAAGAACAAAUGUGUAAGUAACUAUGCACGUCUUGACGGUACCUAAUCAGAAAGCCACGGCUAACUACGUG